Molecule: long non-coding RNA, 3139 nt
Filed under: Salvia miltiorrhiza (redroot sage)
Lineage: Eukaryota; Viridiplantae; Streptophyta; Magnoliopsida; Lamiales; Lamiaceae
Description: long non-coding RNA (SMIL_LNC008358)
Source: RNAcentral
CAUGUAUGAAGACAUGGAAUCCUGAGCCUAAUUUAGUACUUAUAUAUCAAAAGCUUUGCUCUGCUGACAUCCAUCUGCAUCACAGUUUAACCUGCACAUUUAGAAAACAUAUGCGGGGUUGAGUACUAAAAAAGUACUCAAUGGUCACAUGCCGAAAUAACUUUAAAGCUUGCUCUUAGAGCUAUAUAUUGAACUUGCCAUCUCAAGCAUCACACAGGAGUUUUAUAUAAAUAACCUGUGCACGCCAAAACUGUAAAACUUCUAUACAUAUAUAUAUAUAUAUAUAUCAUAACAUCAUAUACGUCUGCAGACAAUUAACAUGUAUGUACCAUAACUACGCAUCAUGUAACCUUGUGUUGAGAAGUAGGCCUCCUUCUCAAACACAGUGAUCGGCCCGAAGGCUCCCGAUCACAGUGACCGGCCAACCCGCUCGAUGACUCACAGUCACAACUAUGUGCACAAACCCUUACUGACAUCUCGCUUCAGCAUAGGGCCGAUAUCGUCUAUCUCUCGUAGAUGGUAACAUACAAGCUCAUAAAAAUAAUUUGGCAAGUCAAUAACUUUAAUAUAACUUCAUUCAUAUAAACAUCAUUAAAUAGUGCGCACUUCAAAUUUUGAGUUUAGAAAGCCCACCUGAUACGCUUAAUGAAGUAGAAAUCCUUGCUUGUUCACUUUAUAAAGCCACUCGAACCUUCAUCAUAAUGAGGUUCCCAAGGUAAGAUUGGAUAGAUAGACAAGGAAUAAAUAGAAAAGAAGUCUUAGUUGAAACUUAUAUCUCUUGAAACUUUAGGGUUGCUUCCUCUAAUCUAAAUAAUCUACUUUUCUGAACUUAACUUAUUAAAAGCAUACUAACAUAUUAUCUAAACCACAACUUAAACUACGAUAAUUGUAAAUCUGGCGUUAAUCAUAACUCCGCUCACAUUAACUAAAAUAAUUCUACAUGUCUAGGCCAUUUAAUAAAUCAAACUGAUUAUUAGCUAAUAGCUAAUAAUCCUUUAUACAUAUUUACUAGGCUCAAAAUAAUAUAAACUCAGCUUAAUUAAUAAUUAGGGCGUAACUGUAUAUUAAAAUCAUCACUAAAUUAAUAAAUAAACCCAACAACUAUCUUAUGCUAUCUAAACCCAUUAGAAAUAUUAAUAGGUCCAUUAGAAUUUCAUGUCCAGUAUUUUGUAAGCCCAACUAGAAAUAAUAAUAAGCCCAUCAGAAAUAGCUUAAGCCCAAUUAAAUAUACAAGUUUAACAAAUAAUCAAAUCCAUCAUCUUCUUCUCAAAGUAAAGAAAAUCAUAUUUCUUUCUUUAAUCGGUUUCUCUUUCUCAUUUAUCAUCAAACAUCUACAUCAUCAUACAAAAUUCUCAUCUCAGUUCUCUAUAUCUCAACUCAAUUCUAUAUUUCUCCUAUAGAAUUCUCAUGGUUCUUGUCAUCUCUAUCGUUCAUCUAACAUCAUGCAUCAAAUCAUCAAUCUCAAAACUCUAAUGUGACACCAAACUCUCUAGUCAUCAACGUCAUCUCUAUAUGAAAGGGAAAAUUACCUCUCUCUCAAGGUCUUAUGUACCAAGGCUCUAACCCAAAAUGAUGCUCUAACUAUACCAGCAUCAUAGGUACUAAGUGCCUAUAGAUAUAUAAAUAUCAACUAUACAUCUUCACAUAUGUACACGUCUACUAGAUACACAUGGUCGCCAGUCAUCGUCUCCUGAAAUCCUGCUCGUCGCAUUAUCAUCCUCCAAAUCCUCACUCAGCUCUAACUCUCGCACUCGUUGUUCAGUCGAUAGAAACAGCUGGGGGUAGAGGUGCAAUUGUAAACGGCUGUUCGGAAAGUGGGGGCAUAACAGCUAAUCUCCCUUCCUUGGGCUGGUCCCUUAGGCUCUCCAUACAGCGAUGAAGGUGGCUCGAAGUCGCGAUGAAGCCACGAAAAUUGGCGCUCACGAACGCCCGAAUUCAGUCUUCAAGGUAUGUUGCGGCACCAGCGAAGCCGCCCGUCUUGCCACUUGGGUGGCAGUUGUGGAAUCAAAAACGUAAUGGCCUCCGCACCGUCAAUCCCAUAGAGAAUAGCCCUCCUCCAUCGUUGGUGAUAGUGUGCCAGAAGUUCACCCAAGGUGUCAUCCUCGUCCGGAAUAUACUCCUUGGACCAUCGCUGCAUCGUUGUCUCAAUGUAACUCGGCAUCUCAUCCUUGUUUGGUACGGUGGGGCAUCGGCUAUACUAGCCUCAACAUCUCUUCUCAUCUUCCACAUCAACUUCCUCACAUCAGAAUUCAUCAUCAUCAAACAAUUUCGUCAUCAAAACAAUACAUCACUCACUAGUGCAUCAAACUCAGUUCUCAUCAGAAAAGCGAUAAGAAACAACAUCAACCUCUUACCUCGUUAAGCCGGAGGAGAUGGGGUGUUGGGGUGUCGUUUCAAAAAGACUCUCUCUCAAGCUAGUCUAAGAACUCAAAUUAGACUAGUACUCAAUCAAGCAAUUAACUCAGAGCAGACGACCUGCUCUGAUACCACUCUGUCACAGGUAAGCCUCCCCCUCUCUUUCUCUCUCUCAAGACCUCUGUCUAUAUCUCUCUCUGUUCUCCUUCUUGGUUUCUCUCUCUCUGUUGUGGUGGCCCCCGCGGAACGCCGUGGCAUGGGCAGCGCCGGCGGUCGCUGCCGUCAGUUGCGCCUCCGCCGCGGUGGCUCGCGGCUGCUGCUGCUGCCGUCCCUUCCCUUUGUUUAAUUCUUUCCCUUUUUCUUACUUAUUCCUAUUUAAUACCUCAUAAUAAUAAAUCUCUAACUAUUUCCCUAUUUCAGGAAUCGUUGAUUCAAGAUAUCUCCACGUGACAACUCUCCUACAUCGCUGCUCUGUUCAAGACUCUACCUUUCUUCCUUUCUUUUUAUUUAUCUGGUUGCAAUAUCAGCUGCUGAAAAUUAGGAUUUUGAGUGCUGUUAUAAAUUGCGUUUCUAUCUACUUGGUGUAGCUAUUAUUCAUCUCUACAAAUCUUAGUUGCUGCUCUUUACAUAACAAAUUAUGGAACUGAAUAAAAGAAAUACUACCUGCUUUAGUGAAUUCCGCGAAAGACUGUUGGGGAUAAAUGACUGUGGAAGAUAUGUGUUUGAAUGGAUGAUUGCUAUUGUGUUCAGAAAGAAGGAAAAACGAUUGAACGUGAGAAAGGAU